Gadus morhua (Atlantic cod) is the source of this 1000-nucleotide long non-coding RNA. RefSeq lists it as uncharacterized. NCBI's taxonomy places the organism in Eukaryota, Metazoa, Chordata, Actinopteri, Gadiformes, Gadidae. The record is from RefSeq and is a predicted model, not a curated record. The transcript is spliced from 3 exons.
ACACUACAGACACACUACGCUGCACAACACACACACACACGCUACACAACACAGACACACACUCUACAGACACACACACUUCCUACACAUAUACACCCACGCACACGCACUCACACAUGAGUGUCUCAGUCACCUCGAGGAGAGCUGUCUCAGUGGAGGGUGCAGUCGCUCAAAAUACAAAACAAUCAACUCAACACACCUACACAUGUACACAUACACAUACAUACACACCAUACAUUAACAAUACACAACAUGCAUAUACACAGUACAAUACGCAGCAUACAUUACCAAUCCACACCAUACACAAUACAAUACACAACAUACAUAUACACGAUAUGUUGUCAAUAUAAUAUAAUUACUUUGUGUACAUUUGGGCUACUGUCCGUACAGAGGUCUGUGUGUAAUGAGUGUGUGGUUCCAGCUGGUACAGAGGUCUGUGUGGUUCUGUGUGUAAUGAGUGUGUGGUUCCAUCUGGUACAGAGGUCUGUGUGUUUCUGUGUGUAAUGAGUGUGUGGUUCCAUCCAGUACAGAGGUCUGUGUGUUUCUGUGUGUAAUGAGUGUGUGGUUCCAUCCGGUACAGAGGUCUGUGUGUAAUGAGUGUGUGGUUCCAGCUGGUACAGAGGUCUGUGUGGUUCUGUGUGUAAUGAGUGUGUGGUUCCAGCUGGUACAGAGGUCUGUGUGUUUCUGUGUGUAAUGAGUGUGUGGUUCCAGCUGGUACAGAGGUCUGUGUUUCGGUGUGUAAUGAGUGUGUGGUUCCAGCUGGUACAGAGGUCUGUGUUUCGGUGUGUAAUGAGUGUGUGGUUCCAGCUGGUACAGAGGUCUGUGUGGUUCUGUGUGUAAUGAGUGUGUGGUUCCAGCUGGUACAGAGGUCUGUGUGGUUCUGUGUGUAAUGAGUGUGUGGUUCCAGCUGGUACAGAGGUCUGUGUGGUUCUGUGUGUAAUGAGUGUGUGGUUCCAUCCGGUACAGAGGUAUGUGUGGUUCUGUGUGUAAUGAGUGUGUG